AGAGCUCCUACGGGAGGCAGGCAGUGGGGGAUAUUGCACAAUGGGGGAAACCCUGAUGCAGCGACGCCGCGUGGAGGAAGAAGGUUUUCGGAUUGUAAACUCCUGUCGUUAGGGACGAUAAUGACGGUACCUAACAAGAAAGCACCGGCUAACUACGUGC
RNAcentral lists this ribosomal RNA (160 nucleotides) under uncultured bacterium. RNAcentral describes it as "partial 16S ribosomal RNA". It matches the Rfam family "Bacterial small subunit ribosomal RNA", at positions 332 to 508 of the family's 1533-position model. The record is from RNAcentral.